GCUUUUUAUAUAUCUCCCAGACCCUCUCUCCUGUCUCUCCCUUUUGAGAGAGAGAGAGAGGUAAAGGCAUCAGGCGGGAAACCGCUCGUUUUGGGGCAAAAACCAAACCCUCCUCCUUAAUAAGACCACUAUUCACACACACAGAUCCCUUAUCUCUCCUCGUUCUCUCUCUAAAACCCUACUCUCCCAAUCCUCCAUAAUCAGUAAAUGAGAGAGCGUCGGAGAGAGAGAGACUAAACUCUGAGCUUUCAGCAAGCGGAAAAUUCAUGGCAUUUCCCCGAAAAGACCAAGAAGACGACACCACCAUCGACGUCCACACCGCCGCCGGCGCUCCCAUCCGCUUCGUCCCUCUCGACCACGUCUACUCCGCCACUUCCCCCUGCGCCAGUGGCUCCUCCAACGUCAUGUCCAAGAAGGUCAAGGCUCGCAAGCUCCUGCUCCACGACCGUUUCGCCUCCGAAAGCCCCGCCGCCGAACAAGACGACGAUGGCGAUCGGAAACCGCAGUUGAUUCCUCCCCUCCCUCGCAAGCCUCCAAUUGUCAAUGUCUACUCUCGCCGCUCCAAGAGGCCGCGCCGUUCCUCCGCCAAUUCGCCUUCUUUCUACGAUUCUAUGCUCGCUCGGGCAGAGUCUACCUCCGGUGGUGAUGAUUCCGAGGUCGGGAGGCUGGUGAAGAAGAGGAAGAAGAGUGGGGGGAAAUUGGGGCCUGUCGGCGAGCUGGUGAAAUUGGGUGUUGAUUCCGACGUGUUGUCGGGUUUGGAUAGGCCGAGGUUGAGAGAUUGUCGGAAUUAUAAUUUCGGUGGGAAGAACAAUGGCAAGGGUUUGAAGAGGAAGAAGCGGAGUUCCGAGGAGAAUUGUGAGAAAGCUUUGUCUGAUUCGCCUACUACGAAGAGAUGGGUCAGGUUGAGUUUUAAUGGCGCUGAACCAAACUCAUUCAUCGGGUUACAGUGCAAGGUUUAUUGGCCGCUGGAUGCUGACUGGUAUUCUGGUCAAAUUGUGGAGUAUAAUCCUGAUAGUGAUCAACAUCAUGUUAAAUACAAAGAUGGAGAAGAGGAAAAGUUGAUACUUUCGAAUGAGAGAAUUAAGUUCUAUAUUUCUUGCAAAGAAAUGGAGAGCUUGAACUUGAGUUGCAGUCUUAAUAGUGUGGACAGUGAUUUCUAUGAUUACAAUGAGAUGGUCGUCUUGGCUGCAAGUUUGGAUGACUGUCAGGAAGUUGAGCCUGGGGAUAUUAUAUGGGCCAAGCUUACUGGUCAUGCUAUGUGGCCAGCGAUUGUUGUAGACGAAUCGCUCACUGUUGAUCGUAAAGGCUUAAGCAAAACUGCAGGGGGCAGAUCAGUUCCAGUACAAUUUUUUGGUACCCAUGAUUUUGCAAGGAUAAGAGUGAAACAGGUCAUCUCAUUUCUCAGGGGGCUUCUUUCUUCUUUCCACCUCAAGUGCAAGAAGGCACGUUUUAUUAGAGGCUUGGAAGAAGCAAAAAUGUAUCUGAGUGAGCAAAAGCUUCCAAAAAGAAUGCUACGGUUGCAAAAUGGAAUUAAUGUUGAUGAAGAUGACGACGUAAGCGGAGACGACAAUGGGUAUACAGAUUCAGGUGAAGAUUUUGCAGAAGAUCUGGGGAUUCAGAGAAUUUUGGAGGGCCUCCAAACUUCCCCGUAUGUGAUAGGGGAUUUACAAGUGAUAAGCCUUGGAAAGAUAGUUAAAGACUCGCAAUAUUUUCAGGAUAAUAACUCCAUUUGGCCUGAAGGAUAUACUGCUCUGAGAAAGUUCACUUCAAUAGCAGAUCUAAGUGCGUUUGCAAUGUAUAAGAUGGAAGUGUUAAGAGAUGCUGAAUCACAGAUUAGACCUCUAUUUAGGGUGACACUGGAUGCUGGAGAGCAGUUCAAAGGAUCCACUCCAUCUGCAUGCUGGAAUAAAAUAUAUAAAAGGAUAAGGAAACUGCAAAACAGCUCUGACAGAUCACAUACUGAAGAAAAAUUGGAAGGCAUCUGCAGAUCUGGUUCUGAUAUGUUUGGUUUCUCCAAUCCUGAAGUUGCAAAACUUAUACAGGGAUUGUCGAAAUCCUCGCAUUCUUCAAAAUUUUCCAUGUGCAAGUUAGCCUCUAGAAAAUAUCAAAACCAGGGUGGCUAUAGACCUGUAAGAGUGGACUGGAAAGACCUUGAUAAAUGUAACGUUUGCCACAUGGAUGAGGAGUAUGAAAACAACCUUUUUCUCCAGUGUGACAAGUGCAGAAUGAUGGUGCACGCAAGAUGUUAUGGAGAAGUAGAGCCUUUUGAUGGAGUAUUAUGGUUAUGCAACUUAUGUCGCCCAGGGGCACCCGAGGUUACUCCUCCUUGUUGCCUUUGUCCUGUUACAGGGGGUGCCAUGAAGCCUACCACUGAUGGCCGCUGGGCUCACCUGGCUUGUGCAAUAUGGAUCCCGGAAACUUGCUUAUCUGAUGUCAAGCGCAUGCAACCAAUUGAUGGUAUAAGUAGGAUCAGCAAGGAUCGUUGGAAGCUGUUAUGCAGCAUUUGUGGUGUUGCUUAUGGAGCCUGUAUCCAAUGUUCAAACAACAGUUGUCGUGUGGCAUAUCAUCCACUCUGUGCACGGGCUGCUGAUCUUUGUGUUGAGCUUGAGGAUGAAGACAGACUUCAUCUCCUCUCUUUUGAGGAUGAGGAAGAAGAUCAAUGUAUUCGUCUUCUUUCGUUUUGCAAGAGGCAUAGGCAGCCAUCUAAUGAGCGUUCAGCUGCUGAUGAUCGGAUUCCACAAACUGCACGUCAGUGCUCAGACUUCAUUCCGCCAUCUAAUCCUUCUGGCUGUGCUCGAAGUGAGCCCUACAACUACUUUGGUAGGAGAGGGCGGAAGGAACCUGAAGCUCUAGCUGCUGCAUCCUUGAAGCGCUUGUUUGUAGAAAACCAGCCUUACUUAGUCAGUGGUCAUACUCAGCAUGGUUUUGGCACUUUUAAUGGGGUUGUGGGCUCUAAGUUCUGCUCUAAACUUCUAAGGCUCAAAAUCAGUCAGCUUGAUCCUCCCAAUAAUAUACUUUCCAUGGCUGAGAAAUACAAGUACAUGAGGGAGACCUUCCGCAAGAGACUAGCUUUUGGGAAAUCAGGAAUUCAUGGAUUUGGCAUCUUUGCAAAGCUUCCACAUAGAGCAGGGGACAUGGUGAUUGAAUACACAGGAGAACUUGUUAGACCUCCGAUUGCUGACAGAAGAGAACGGUUUAUAUACAAUUCACUCGUGGGUGCUGGGACUUAUAUGUUUCGAAUUGACGAUGAACGUGUUAUUGAUGCCACAAGGGCCGGAAGCAUUGCUCAUCUAAUCAAUCAUUCUUGUGAACCAAAUUGCUAUUCAAGGGUCAUAAGUGUCAAUGGGGACGAGCACAUUAUCAUUUUUGCAAAAAGAGACAUCAAAAGAUGGGAAGAACUGACAUAUGAUUAUAGAUUUUUCUCAAUUGAUGAACAACUAGCAUGUUAUUGUGGGUUCCCAAGAUGUCGGGGGAUAGUUAAUGACGUUGAAGCCGAAGAGCGGGCGGGAAAGCUAUGUGUACCUCGCAGUGAAUUAAUACAUUGGACUGGGGAAUGAAAGUUAUAAUUUUUCGUUGGCCAUUCUGGAGUAUAUACUCAAUUGGAAGGAAUGUGAGUGUAAGGAUUUAUUCGUAGCUUGUAUCAUUUGCAUUGAAACAGUUGGAUUGUUCAGCUGGCUCAAGAUUAAGAAUUGGACUUCAUCUUGAUGCUUCUUUCAUAGGCCUUUUUAAGAAUUUUAUUGUAAAAAUAUUUCUACUACAAGAACCUGAGAACCUUGCAAAGACGGUUAUUUUUUUGCCAAGAAUUUGUUCGUCACAUACACUAUUUGACCAAGGCUUAUUGAAGUGUAAAGUCCCUGUUCUCUUCUAGGCUGUCGUAUGAAUCAAGUGGUUCAGCUUAUUUUGCUCAAGCUUGUUCCUCUUGAUUUGAGCGUAUUACUUGAGUAUGUGAUCAAAGGAUCAUAGGUAGACAAUCUCUCUUGAUUCUGUAACUUUACGUAUUUGAAGGCACUGUUGUUUAUAUAUUACUUACCCCAUUGUAAGGAAAAAAAAAAAAAGAAUUGCUGUAAAUGAAAGUAAAUUGUCAAUGCAUAUGA
Molecule: RNA transcript, 4094 nt
Organism: Morus notabilis
Lineage: Eukaryota; Viridiplantae; Streptophyta; Magnoliopsida; Rosales; Moraceae
Gene name: histone-lysine N-methyltransferase ATX1
Exons: 26
Source: RefSeq, a predicted model, not a curated record